UCUCCGUAGGUGAACCUGCGGAGGGAUCAUUACAGAGUUCAUGCCCUAACGGGUAGAUCUCCCACCCUAUGUUAUCAUCUCUUUGUUGCUUUGGCGGGCCGUCAGGCCUCGGCUUGGCUACCGGCUCUCGCUGGUAAGCGCCCGCCAGAGAACCCCAAACCCUGAAUAUCAGUGUCGUCUGAGUACUAUAUAAUAGUUAAAACUUUCAACAACGGAUCUCUUGGUUCUG
RNAcentral lists this unclassified non-coding RNA (229 nucleotides) under plant metagenome. RNAcentral describes it as "partial contains small subunit ribosomal RNA, internal transcribed spacer 1, and 5.8S ribosomal RNA". The record is from RNAcentral.